Molecule: ribosomal RNA, 164 nt
Filed under: Euphorbia resinifera
Lineage: Eukaryota; Viridiplantae; Streptophyta; Magnoliopsida; Malpighiales; Euphorbiaceae
Also listed under: 3 other names
Description: 5.8S ribosomal RNA
Rfam family: 5.8S ribosomal RNA
About the family: 5.8S ribosomal RNA (5.8S rRNA) is a component of the large subunit of the eukaryotic ribosome.
Source: RNAcentral
AAAACGACUCUCGGCAACGGAUAUCUCGGCUCUCGCAUCGAUGAAGAACGCAGCGAAAUGCGAUACUUGGUGUGAAUUGCAGGAUCCCGCGAACCAUCGAGUCUUUGAACGCAAGUUGCGCCCUAAGCCUUCCGGCCGAGGGCACGUCUGCCUGGGUGUCAUUC